Molecule: ribosomal RNA, 449 nt
Filed under: uncultured bacterium
Lineage: Bacteria
Description: partial 16S ribosomal RNA
Rfam family: Bacterial small subunit ribosomal RNA
Source: RNAcentral
AGCGAACGCUGGCGGCAGGCUUAACACAUGCAAGUCGAACGCCAUCUUCGGAUGGAGUGGCAGACGGGUGAGUAACGCGUGGGAACGUACCUUUUGGUUCGGAAUAUUCUCGGGAAACUGAGAGCAAUACCGAAUAAGCCCUUAGGGGGAAAGAUUUAUUGCCAAAAGAUCGGCCCGCGUUAGAUUAGGUAGUUGGUAGGGUAAUGGCCUACCAAGCCUACGAUCUAUAGCUGGUCUGAGAGGAUGAUCAGCCACAUUGGGACUGAGACACGGCCCAAACUCCUACGGGAGGCAGCAGUGGGGAAUAUUGGACAAUGGGCGCAAGCCUGAUCCAGCCAUGCCGCGUGAAUGAUGAAGGCCUUAGGGUUGUAAAAUUCUUUCAACGGGGACGAUAAUGACGGUACCCGUAGAAGAAGCCCCGGCUAACUUCGUGCCAGCAGCCGCCGUAA